This 253-nucleotide ribosomal RNA is filed under the name uncultured bacterium. RNAcentral describes it as "partial 16S ribosomal RNA". It matches the Rfam family "Bacterial small subunit ribosomal RNA", at positions 524 to 776 of the family's 1533-position model. The record is from RNAcentral.
UACGAAGGGGGCUAGCGUUGCUCGGAAUUACUGGGCGUAAAGCGCACGUAGGCGGAUUGUUAAGUCGGGGGUGAAAUCCUGGAGCUCAACUUCAGAAUUGCCUUCGAUACUGGCUUUCUAGAGGCUGGAAGAGGUUAGUGGAAUUCCCAGUGUAGAGGUGAAAUUCGUAGAUAUUGGGAAGAACACCAGUGGCGAAGGCGGCUAACUGGUCCAGAUCUGACGCUGAGGUGCGAAAGCGUGGGGAGCAAACAGG